This 253-nucleotide ribosomal RNA is filed under the name uncultured bacterium. RNAcentral describes it as "partial 16S ribosomal RNA". It matches the Rfam family "Bacterial small subunit ribosomal RNA", at positions 524 to 776 of the family's 1533-position model. The record is from RNAcentral.
UACGUAGGGUGCAGGCGUUGUCCGGAAUUAUUGGGCGUAAAGAGCUCGUAGGCGGUUCGUCGCGUCGGCUGUGAAAACCUGAGGCUCAACCUCAGGCCUGCAGUCGAUACGGGCGGACUUGAGUACUGCAGGGGAGACUGGAAUUCCUGGUGUAGCGGUGAAAUGCGCAGAUAUCAGGAGGAACACCGGUGGCGAAGGCGGGCCUCUGGGCCGAUACUGACGCUGAGGAGCGAAAGCGUGGGGAGCGAACAGG